Molecule: ribosomal RNA, 348 nt
Filed under: uncultured bacterium
Lineage: Bacteria
Description: bacterial SSU rRNA
Rfam family: Bacterial small subunit ribosomal RNA
Source: RNAcentral
GGGCCCGCACAAGCGGUGGAGCAUGUGGUUUAAUUCGAUGAUACGCGAGGAACCUUACCAGGGCUUAAAUGUAGUCUGACAGGGGUGGAAACACCCCUCCUUCGGGCAGAUUACAAGGUGCUGCAUGGUUGUCGUCAGCUCGUGCCGUGAGGUGUCAGGUUAAGUCCUAUAACGAGCGCAACCCCUGCCGUUAGUUGCCAGCGAGUAAUGUCGGGAACUCUAACGAAACUGCCAGUGCAAACUGUGAGGAAGGUGGGGAUGACGUCAAAUCAUCACGGCCCUUACGUCCUGGCUACACGCAUGCUACAAUGGCAAGUACAACGAGUCGCAAUACCGCGAGGUGGAGCA